This 301-nucleotide ribosomal RNA is filed under the name uncultured bacterium. RNAcentral's name for it is "partial 16S ribosomal RNA". It matches the Rfam family "Bacterial small subunit ribosomal RNA", at positions 509 to 807 of the family's 1533-position model. The record is from RNAcentral.
CAGUCGCCACGGGAAUACGAAGGGUGCAAGCGUUAAUCGGAAUUACUGGGCGUAAAGCGUGCGUAGGCGGUGAGUUAAGUCUGCUGUGAAAUCCCCGGGCUCAACCUGGGAAUGGCAGUGGAUACUGGCUCGCUAGAGUGUGUCAGAGGAUGGUGGAAUUCCCGGUGUAGCGGUGAAAUGCGUAGAGAUCGGGAGGAACAUCAGUUGCGAAGGCGGCCAUCUGGGACAACACUGACGCUGAGGCACGAAAGCGUGGGGAGCAAACAGGAUUAGAUACCCCAGUAGUCCCUGUCUCUUAUAC